CCUACGGGUGACAGCAGUGAGGAAUAUUGGUCAAUGGACGAGAGUCUGAACCAGCCAAGUAGCGUGAAGGAUGACUGCCCUCUGGGUUGUAAACUUCUUUUAUAAUGGAAUAAAACGCGGCACGUGUGCCUUUUUUCAUGUACUUUAUGAAUAAGGAUCGGCUAACUCCGUGCAAGCAGCCGCGGUAAUACGGAGGAUCCGAGCGUUAUCCGGAUUUAUUGGGUUAAAAGGGAGCGUAGAUGGGUUGUUAAGUCAGUUGUGAAAGUUUGCGACUCAACCGUAAAAUUGCAAUUUAUACUGGCAGUCUUGAGUACAGUUGAGGUAGGCGGAAUUCGUGGUGUAGCGGUGAAAUGCUUAGAUAUCACGAAGAACCCCGAUUGCGAAGGCAGCUUACUAAACUGUGACUGACAUUGAUGCUCGAAAGUGUGGGUAUCAAACAGGAUUAGAUACCCGGGUAGUC
Molecule: ribosomal RNA, 460 nt
Filed under: uncultured bacterium
Lineage: Bacteria
Description: partial 16S ribosomal RNA
Rfam family: Bacterial small subunit ribosomal RNA
Source: RNAcentral